This is a long non-coding RNA of Harpia harpyja (harpy eagle), 1179 nucleotides long. RefSeq lists it as uncharacterized. The record is from RefSeq and is a predicted model, not a curated record. Lineage: Eukaryota; Metazoa; Chordata; Aves; Accipitriformes; Accipitridae. The transcript is spliced from 4 exons.
AAUCCUCUGAGGCUUUAGAAGCUGAAACAAAGACAAGGACCCUUCAGAGACAUGAAGAACAGAAGCUUGUUGUCAUGGAAAAAGAAAAUUUGAUGUGAGAAAGAGCAAGGCUUCAGCAGCAGCCAAACACCAAGUUCCAGACUCAAGCUCAAGUACGUGACAGGCAGAAGUGCAGAAGCUGUCGCUAACAAACUGGAGCACCUGGGUUUGCCAAGAUAAACGCCACAGGCAAGACAGCCUUUUUCCUAAGUCAAGAUUCCAUCAGAGUAUCAUUAACUUCAUGGAAAUUGUUUUAAGGUACAUGGCAUCCUGUCGGGAUCAAGGGGAGUGCAACAUGCAGCACUAGUGACAUGGGCCUGAAACAGACUGUGACAUUGCUGUUGCGAGGAAUGUCACUGUAGACGCUUGUGAUAGCUCAGAGGAUAACGAUCCCCUCUCCUCUGUAUACCGGAGCAAUCGUUCCUGAAAUAUAUCCAGCUCAGGGUGAGUGCUUUUGGUUUCACCUUCAAAUAGUGUGUGUGUGUGAGUUGCAGCUUGCCUGCUUUCUGUCUGCCACUGCGCCUGUUAGAGGGGGUUACCUGUUCUCUCAAGCACAGUGUCACAGGCAUGCGUGCCACCGUUACGUACUGCGUGAGGACUGGCUGAGAGGGUAGGGUGGCCUUGGCAGGUAAAAUAAUAAAAAUGGUAUCAACCUUCAUACUGAGUGUAAGGCCACGAUUUAUGUCGCAGCAAUGACUUCUGUCUGUUAAGUCUGGGAGCUCAUCAGUAAGAAAUACCAGGGAAGAAGGAAGCUCUGGUUUUAUUAACUCAAGGAAAGUAAGAGCGAGUUAGUAACUCAGUGGGAUAUUAGGACAACAUGACACGAAGUAUUUCUGAUGGAGGUGGUGGUUUUGAAAGUUCCCCGGAGUAUUAGAAAGCCUUCACCUGGAAUUGUCUGCAUUAGUCAAAGCCCCCACAUUCAGGAAAGGUUAAUUUAAAACAAAUUCACGGAGAUGCUGCUGAAGGACUGGAAGAGGAUGCCCUUUGUAGGAGAGAAACUGCCAAGAGCUCCCCGUUGUGUAGCCAGUAUAGCACAUGCUGAGGCAGGAUCUCAUUUUUUGUUGUUCUUGAAUCUCAGAAGUAACUACCAGGAAACAAAACCAACAUGUUUAGCUACAAGAAAGUCUUGAAAAGGUACCU